GGGGACUUCUGUUGACGGGCGUCCCCUGACCCCUUGUGCCGACCGCUAGUAGCUUAAGCGCUAACUACGAUAGCACGCGCUUAAUCGCUAGCUCUGUUUGGAGCUAGCGCGUUAGCGUGUGUAAACUCACUGUGUUGGCUUACAAUUCUUUCUAUUUAACGCAUAGGCUUCGGACAAGCGUGGGAAUCUUUACACCGCUGUCUACUGUCUUCGUUACACCCCCUCCGAAAAAAAAAAAAAGCGAGUGUGUCGUGUUAUGGAGGUGCCGGGAGUUAAACCCGGAUCCAGCAGAUUAUUGCAUUGCCACUUGUUUAUUGUCAUAGCUAAAUUAGC
RNAcentral lists this non-coding RNA (333 nucleotides) under Candidatus Hodgkinia cicadicola. Lineage: Bacteria; Pseudomonadati; Pseudomonadota; Alphaproteobacteria; Hyphomicrobiales. The record is from RNAcentral.